GUAGUGGCUCAGUGGUAGAGUGCUUGCCUAGCAUGUGUGAGGCCCUGGGUUCGAUCCUCAGCACCACA
RNAcentral lists this transfer RNA (68 nucleotides) under Marmota monax (woodchuck). Its description in RNAcentral is "tRNA.Ala". Lineage: Eukaryota; Metazoa; Chordata; Mammalia; Rodentia; Sciuridae. The record is from RNAcentral.